Molecule: transfer RNA, 57 nt
Filed under: Stenotrophomonas maltophilia
Lineage: Bacteria; Pseudomonadati; Pseudomonadota; Gammaproteobacteria; Lysobacterales; Lysobacteraceae
Description: tRNA-Lys
Rfam family: tRNA
About the family: Transfer RNA (tRNA) molecules are approximately 80 nucleotides in length. Their secondary structure includes four short double-helical elements and three loops (D, anti-codon, and T loops).
Source: RNAcentral
UAGCUCAGUUGGUAGAGCAGUUGACUCUUAAUCAAUAGGUCCAAGGUUCGAAUCCUU